UUUAUGGAGAGUUUGAUCCUGGCUCAGGAUGAACGCUGGCGGCGUGCCUAAUACAUGCAAGUCGAGCGAACGGACGAGAAGCUUGCUUCUCUGAUGUUAGCGGCGGACGGGUGAGUAACACGUGGAUAACCUACCUAUAAGACUGGGAUAACUUCGGGAAACCGGAGCUAAUACCGGAUAAUAUUUUGAACCGCAUGGUUCAAAAGUGAAAGACGGUCUUGCUGUCACUUAUAGAUGGAUCCGCGCUGCAUUAGCUAGUUGGUAAGGUAACGGCUUACCAAGGCAACGAUGCAUAGCCGACCUGAGAGGGUGAUCGGCCACACUGGAACUGAGACACGGUCCAGACUCCUACGGGAGGCAGCAGUAGGGAAUCUUCCGCAAUGGGCGAAAGCCUGACGGAGCAACGCCGCGUGAGUGAUGAAGGUCUUCGGAUCGUAAAACUCUGUUAUUAGGGAAGAACAUAUGUGUAAGUAACUGUGCACAUCUUGACGGUACCUAAUCAGAAAGCCACGGCUAACUACGUGCCAGCAGCCGCGGUAAUACGUAGGUGGCAAGCGUUAUCCGGAAUUAUUGGGCGUAAAGCGCGCGUAGGCGGUUUUUUAAGUCUGAUGUGAAAGCCCACGGCUCAACCGUGGAGGGUCAUUGGAAACUGGAAAACUUGAGUGCAGAAGAGGAAAGUGGAAUUCCAUGUGUAGCGGUGAAAUGCGCAGAGAUAUGGAGGAACACCAGUGGCGAAGGCGACUUUCUGGUCUGUAACUGACGCUGAUGUGCGAAAGCGUGGGGAUCAAACAGGAUUAGAUACCCUGGUAGUCCACGCCGUAAACGAUGAGUGCUAAGUGUUAGGGGGUUUCCGCCCCUUAGUGCUGCAGCUAACGCAUUAAGCACUCCGCCUGGGGAGUACGACCGCAAGGUUGAAACUCAAAGGAAUUGACGGGGACCCGCACAAGCGGUGGAGCAUGUGGUUUAAUUCGAAGCAACGCGAAGAACCUUACCAAAUCUUGACAUCCUUUGACAACUCUAGAGAUAGAGCCUUCCCCUUCGGGGGACAAAGUGACAGGUGGUGCAUGGUUGUCGUCAGCUCGUGUCGUGAGAUGUUGGGUUAAGUCCCGCAACGAGCGCAACCCUUAAGCU
This 1131-nucleotide ribosomal RNA is filed under the name Staphylococcus aureus. RNAcentral describes it as "bacterial SSU rRNA". It matches the Rfam family "Bacterial small subunit ribosomal RNA", at positions 1 to 1111 of the family's 1533-position model. The record is from RNAcentral. Lineage: Bacteria; Bacillati; Bacillota; Bacilli; Caryophanales; Staphylococcaceae.